Non-coding RNA from Pelodiscus sinensis (Chinese soft-shelled turtle), 2887 nucleotides. NCBI's taxonomy places the organism in Eukaryota, Metazoa, Chordata, Testudines, Trionychidae. The record is from RefSeq and is a predicted model, not a curated record.
CGGGCUGUGGCGCGCGAAGCCGGAACGUUUUUGUGACCGUUGGGCGGCGGUUGGGGGAAGGCGCCGAGCCGGCUCUUCUCGGCAGAGGCGGAAACCAUGGACAAGCACGCGAAGGCUUCGAAGCCUCCCGGCUUUCCCUCUGGGACGAAGACGGAGCGGCGUUUGAGCAUGUUCGAGAAAGACAACCAUGCACAGGUGGUAAAAGAGAGAAUGAGAAGUUCAAGCCAUGAAGUUCACGAUCUCCAGCAGAUGGGUCUGGGAUGUUGCGAGAGACAACUGGGUUUCAGCUAAAUGUGAAACAGAAUCCUUUGUUUCAUUGGCUUUGAUAAUUGCUUGUUAUUAUGAAUAAUUUUUUGAAAGCAGCCAGCCUCUAUGAAUCGUCAUCACUAUAUUAUGUGUGCUUGUUCAAAAACCUUCAUAAAGUUAUAGUUAUUUUAGAAUACUUUCUUUAAGUUAAAAACAGUUGAUAGAUUGAAAUGCACAUACAUUUAAACUAAUGUUUCCAAUUCUUUUCUAUAAUUUUUUCAAAAAUAUAUAUGGAUAGUUGCAUACUGUAUACAUUUGUCUUAAUGCUGUGUUUGUGCACUUAUGACAGGUAUUAACACAUUUUGCAAGGUGCCCAUUGUGGCUUUGCAUGAGUUGUAAAGAAUAGGUAUCCCAACAAAUGACAAGUGACAGUUCCAUUCAAAAAAGGAAAAUAUUCUGUGCUUUGAUAUGACUUUGUGACAGAAAAGUAAUACUCUCAGCUGUAGUUAUAUUCAUCCAAUUCUACAGCAAGAAUCUCUUCAGAGAUCUAGUAAUGAAGAAAGCCACUGUAAUGUGGCUUAUUUUUAAAAGUUUUUCUUAGAUUAAAUAACUUUCCCACUAUAAUCAGCUGUUAUUUUUUGUGCCAGUUAAACUUUUGAUUGGAUAUUGAAGUUUGGAACAUUCCAUAUACGGUCCCAAUCCUGCUCCUUUUGAAGUCAGAGGGAGUGUUAUCAUUGACUUCACUGAUACCAGGAAGUUUCCCCCAAAAUUACAAAACAUCAACUGUUUUAUAGUCCUUUGUCUAGAGGCUGUUAUAUUGUAUAUACUGGACUCAAUGAUUUUUGUUUUCAUAACACUCGUUCCUAAUGACAGCAGGCCAGAAGAGCUGUAAAAUCCAUUCAGUGACAACCUGAAAUUUCAGGUGAUAGAUAUGUAAUUGACAGUUAAUCACAACAAUACAUCUAUAUAUCUAUAGAGGUACACAGAAAAGAAUGACUAAGACAAAAUUUACAAAGAAUAUUAGAACUGCAGCUAUAUUUAACUAAAUAGUGACUUAAAUUUGCUAUUAUUUUAAUGGCAUUGUUCCAUUAUAACACUUCAGAAGAAAAUAAAUAUUACUUGUUUUCAGAAUAAAACAUUGUUUUAAUUUUCUGCUAAAAUGCCUGUUGGCUUGAUAAUAUCAAAUAGUACUUUAAUUCCUUAUACCACAAAACAAGGGUGGCUUUAUAUAUACAGGAAUACCAGAAUGAGACCUGUUCUGACCAUGGAAGAAGCACAUGGCAAUAGCCCCAGUCAGUUGGGAAUCUAUUUGGAGUAGGGAAAUCUACAGUGGGGAUUGUUGUGACCCAAGUAGCCAAGGCGGUCAAUACCCUUCCACUAUAAAGGUUAGUGAUUCUGGGAACUAUGCAGGACAUAGUGGAUGGCUUUUCCGUGAUAGGGUUCCCUAACUGGUGGAGUGAUAGACAUGUUCCUAUCUUGCCAAAGAGCAUAUGGGACGGGGCAGAUCAGCCCUUGAGGACAAGAAAGGACAUAGAGCAAGAAGCUAGAGAGGCUGUGGAGGAACCAGCCAAUCAGGGGCCAGGAAGGCCUAUAAAAGGUGCUGCAAAGCACAGCAGGAGUCAAUUGGAACCUUCAAGGAUCAGGCUAGUCCUGAGGGAAGGGCUAAGCCAAACUGUUGGAGUCCUGUGGCCAGUGGAAAGGGACAUAUGAGAAGGCAAUGCUGCCAGAGAGAUAGAGGGUGCCAAAGGGUCAGGCUCAGCCUGGGACUGUUGGAAAGGGAGGUGAGACAAAGGAGGAACACGAUGCUGAGAGUGGUCACUGGGGGCAGUGAGCACAGGGGAAAGGCUAUACUGAAACCACACCACAAAGAGAGUGGCCAACAGGACAGGAGUUCACCAUCUUGCCUGCCACCAGACUGAGUAAGUAGCCCCCCUGCCCUUGGGUGCAGCACUGCAGGGAAAGGGAGUGAAAAGGUCCCUUGUGGCUGGGCGGGGGGAGAGGCUGGGGGGAGACAGAAGGCUGCUGGCAGCCACAGGAUGGGAUUCGGGGAAGAGCAAAGGUUUUUAAUACAUUUACUUGAUUUUUAACUUUGCCGUCCCUCCCAAGGGCCUAUGCUUAUGACAAUCACACUUCCACAUGAGGGCUUUUGCUACAUUUCAAAGGCAAAGGUGCCCUUAUUGACUGAGGGUACGAUGGUUGGAGAAAGGUGGAAGCCAGAUUCAAGAACAAUAAGAACCAUGGGACCUGUGAAGUGGGUUCACUGAAAGAAGACUAGACUUAUGGAUGCCUCGGGAGGAAGCAGCAAACACCUGCUUUUGGACGGUCCCUCUUUGAAGGUGAAUGGGGGAGCAUUAAAAACACCCAGAAGAAGGUGCCUUAGACCAGUAAAUGCAUAUGUAUAUGAUGACUCUCUGCCUGAGAGGGAAGACACUAUACAUCUAAGGCAUCUUGCAGUCAACAUGGGAGCAUUGAUCCAGCUCCAACCCUCCCCGACCUAACUAAUCUGGCCAGCAGUUAGGUGGAACAACUAUUGAUAAAAACAAGACAUGGUGGGUGUGUGCCUGUGUGCACUGUAUUAUAUGCAUAUAAGUGUUGACUGCUAUAUGUAUGUAUUACCAAUAAAUGUGGCAUUUUGCCUUUU